Heterocephalus glaber (naked mole-rat) is the source of this 1338-nucleotide long non-coding RNA. The record is from Ensembl. Lineage: Eukaryota; Metazoa; Chordata; Mammalia; Rodentia; Bathyergidae.
GCGCCAGAUCUGCCCGGGGCUUGGGCUCAGGGAUGCUGAGUAGGCACAAGCACGGGACCCAGGGUGGCCUCUGCGGUGGAAAGCAGCCCCGGCCUCCCUCAGCCUCCUUCUCUGCUGGGAAGAUGAACACUAUUGAGUCUCUCUGGACAACCUUAGACUUCACAUCCCCAUUUUAAGAUGAGGAAAUCGAGGCUUAGAGAGAUCCUUUGUUUUAUGCUGUGGGACAAGAAAUCGCACUCUGCAAUGCCAAGGUCAACACCAAGUUGCACACAGGAGGCUGGCGCAGUUCCCGUGUCACCCUCCUGACCCUGGGUAAGCCCCCAAGGCUUCUCAGGGGUGCCUGAAGAGAGGACUCUGAAACCAGCCCAGGGCCCUCGGACCAGAUGGGGUGGAACAAGUGUUACUUUUUAUUGUUCUCUACCCUGAGGUCUGGCAGCUGCCUGUCAGCUUGGGUUCCCCACAGCCCCACCAGCUCCCCUCCAGCCCCAGUCAGCCCCGGAGGUGGCUGGUCAGGCCCAUUGGGCCACAUUUCUCCUAGUUUCCCAACUCGGUAACACCCGCCCCCUUGCUGGGGACCUCUGCCCCCUACCCUGAGGGAAGAUUCCAGAACAGACAGCAGAGCUGCCCUGGUGACAAAACCCAGAAGCAAGUAAAGGGGUAUUUACUGAGUACCUGCAACUUGCCAGGCCCUUGAGGUAUUCAUUCCUCCUUGAGCUGCCCAGAGAAGAUUAUCCUUUGUUUACUUCUGAUGAAAGCAAGGCUCAGGGAGGCCAACUGCCCCGGAGCAUGCCGCUGGGAAAGGGGGGAGAAUUUUUCUAUCCCGAGCUGGAGCUGAAAUCGAGACUCUGAGAACAGCUCUGUCACUUGACCCUGCCCCAGCCCGUCCCGGGACUCAGUGACAAGGGCCGCAUGCACACUCGUGGCCGCUGUCCGAGCCCAGCUCCACCCAAGGACUGUGGGCCUGGAGGCGGCUCCCGACGGGCCUGGCCGGAGGCCUCGGUCUGCGUUUCGAGGCAGUUUGCCCAGGCUUCCUCUUAUGUGGGCAGGAAGAGCUUGGCGCUUGGGUCACGAUGUCGCUACACGGCCACUUCCACCGGCGACCGGAGCCCGAUCUGACAGCCUCACUUCUCGGUCCGCAAAGUGGGAUAUCCUCAUUUCACUGCGGCGCGGGAGGGAUAGGCCCCAGCAACGAAAAGAUGGGUAAACUCGUUCCCAAAUUACUGUGAAUUUCGAGGCGGUGAUAGCAGAGCGGGAACUAAGCUCCGGGCCCUUGGCAGCACGGGGUCCUGUGUGGUCCUGGGUCGCACUGCCCGAAGCAGGCGCCGACGCUGCAGGCGG